AUUGAACGCUGGCGGCAGGCCUAACACAUGCAAGUCGAACGAGUGGCGGACGGGUGAGUAAUGUCUGGGAAACUGCCUGAUGGAGGGGGAUAACUACUGGAAACGGUAGCUAAUACCGCAUACCAUCGGAUGUGCCCAGAGGGGAUUAGCUCGUAGGUGGGGUAACGGCUCACCUAGGCGACGAUCCCUAGCUGGUCUGAGAGGAUGACCAGCCACAUGGGAACUGGGACACGGGCCAGACUCCUACGUGAGGCAGCAGUGGGGAAUAUUGCACAAGUGGAGCAAGCCGGAUGCAGACAUGCCGCGUGUAUGAAGAAGGCCUUCGGGUUGUAAAGUACUUUCAGCGGGGAGGCGUUACCCGCAGAAGAAGCACCGGCUAACUCCGUGCCAGCAGCCGCGGUAAUAC
This 406-nucleotide ribosomal RNA is filed under the name uncultured bacterium. Its description in RNAcentral is "partial 16S ribosomal RNA". It matches the Rfam family "Bacterial small subunit ribosomal RNA", at positions 30 to 526 of the family's 1533-position model. The record is from RNAcentral.